This 253-nucleotide ribosomal RNA is filed under the name uncultured bacterium. Its description in RNAcentral is "partial 16S ribosomal RNA". It matches the Rfam family "Bacterial small subunit ribosomal RNA", at positions 524 to 776 of the family's 1533-position model. The record is from RNAcentral.
UACGGAGGGGGCUAGCGUUGUUCGGAAUUACUGGGCGUAAAGGGCGCGUAGGCGGCUUAUCAAGUCAGGCGUGAAAUUCCCGGGCUCAACCUGGGGGCUGCGCUUGAUACUGAUGAGCUUGAAUGCGGGAGAGGAUAGUGGAAUUCCCAGUGUAGAGGUGAAAUUCGUAGAUAUUGGGAAGAACACCGGUGGCGAAGGCGGCUAUCUGGCCCGUAAUUGACGCUGAGACGCGAAAGCGUGGGGAGCGAACAGG